RNAcentral lists this transfer RNA (80 nucleotides) under Taxus mairei. RNAcentral describes it as "tRNA-Leu". It matches the Rfam family "tRNA". From Rfam's summary of the family: Transfer RNA (tRNA) molecules are approximately 80 nucleotides in length. Lineage: Eukaryota; Viridiplantae; Streptophyta; Pinopsida; Cupressales; Taxaceae. The record is from RNAcentral.
AGCCGCCAUGGUGAAAUUGGUAGACACGCUGCUCUUAGGAAGCAGUGCUAGAGCAUCUCGGUUCGAAUCCGAGUGGUGGC